UGGGGAAUCUUGCACAAUGGACGAAAGUCUGAUGCAGCAACGCCGCGUGGGGGAUGAAGCUUUUCGGAGUGUAAACCCCUUUCGACCCGGAAGAAUGCCCGCAAGGGUUUGACGGUACGGGUAUAAGAAGCCCCGGCUAACUACGUGCCAGCAGCCGCGGUAAUACGUAGGGGGCCAGCGUUGCUCGGAAUUACUGGGCGUAAAGGGUCCGUAGGCGGUGUGGCAAGUCGGGAGUGAAAUCUCUGGGCUUAACCCAGAGGCUGCUUCCGAAACUGCCAUGCUAGAGUGUGAGAGAGGCGAGUGGAAUUACGGGUGUAGCGGUGAAAUGCGUAGAUAUCCGUAGGAACAUCCGAGGCGAAGGCGGCUCGCUGGAUCACAACUGACGCUGAGGGACGAAAGCUAGGGGAGCAAACAGGAUUAGAUACCCCGGUAGUCCUAGCCGUAAACGAUGGAUACUAGGUGUAGGUGGUAUCGACUCCAUCUGUGCCGCAGUUAACACAAUAAGUAUCCCGCCUGGGGAGUACGGCCGCAAGGUUA
This 537-nucleotide ribosomal RNA is filed under the name uncultured bacterium. Its description in RNAcentral is "bacterial SSU rRNA". It matches the Rfam family "Bacterial small subunit ribosomal RNA", at positions 355 to 896 of the family's 1533-position model. The record is from RNAcentral.